UCUGCUCCCACAGUCGCCCCAUCAGCAGCAUCCUCCCCUCUGCUGGACCGUGAUAUUCCAGGAAGGAGGAAGAGAUGCGGAGCAGAACUCUCUGCCUCAGAAGGAAAGCGACCACGACAUCCACACCAACAGAUUCUACAGCAUGGAUGGACUGGGAGCAAGCCAGGCUCGCAUGAAUAGUCUUCAAGCUGCAAGCACUGGAAUGCAAAAUACAAUCAAAAGUCUACACCACCUCCAACACUUUUAGUCUGUGUCUCGUCUGGGACCUGAAGCAGUCUUGAAGUGCGAACUCCUAUAUGACACAAA
Molecule: long non-coding RNA, 306 nt
Organism: Mesocricetus auratus (golden hamster)
Lineage: Eukaryota; Metazoa; Chordata; Mammalia; Rodentia; Cricetidae
Exons: 3
Source: RefSeq, a predicted model, not a curated record